This 35-nucleotide transfer RNA is filed under the name Phoenicopterus ruber (American flamingo). RNAcentral's name for it is "partial tRNA-Phe". The record is from RNAcentral. Lineage: Eukaryota; Metazoa; Chordata; Aves; Phoenicopteriformes; Phoenicopteridae.
GAUGCCAAGACGGUCACCACAUAUACCCGGGGACA